UGUGGGAGCGAGCUUGCUCGCGAUGGCGGUGUGUCAGUCGAUAUCAAUAAGGCUGAUCCAACGCUAUCGCGAGCAAGCUCGCUCCCACA
Molecule: unclassified non-coding RNA, 89 nt
Filed under: Pseudomonas brassicacearum
Lineage: Bacteria; Pseudomonadati; Pseudomonadota; Gammaproteobacteria; Pseudomonadales; Pseudomonadaceae
Source: RNAcentral